UCCAAUGUUUGAUCUGUAAAGACUGCAAAGUUACAAUUAUUCUAUUUGCAAAAAUUAAUAAAUCAUAAGAGAACUCUGCCUGCAGUGAUAAAAUAUUAGAAUCGCAAUAACUGUCUACUUUGACAAAGGUUAUAAUUAUUUACCCCAAGAAGGUUCCUUGCCUCAGACAUUGAAAAAGCAAAACGAAUUAUAUAAAAGGUGCUACUCACGAAAUGUUGCAUGUCAUUGAAACGAUUUUAUGAGUGAAAGUUCUAGCUUCAAAACUAUGUAAGUGAAGUCAGCAGAAAGGUAUUAUGGUGAUUUUGUUUUCUUUCUUUUUUUCUGUCCAAAUUGUGCCAAUAAGGGUGUGAAUUCAGCACGCGAUAUUGAAAAUUGAGCAAGUUGGGGGGAAAAAACGAAAGUAAUAUGGAUUCGAAAAUAUUAAGAACACGGGUAACAUUGAAAAAGAACAAUUGAAUCCUUGCUUGUCAUGUGUGCAAUGUUCUAUAUGAUAAAUAAAUACGACAAAAGUAAUGAAUAAUUAAUUCCACAACCUUGAAGAACAAUUGAAUUUACCUAAGUGAUGUAAAUACGUUCAUUUUUUGUAAUUUACUAGUACAUAUAACCUAAUCUAGU
This is a long non-coding RNA of Eupeodes corollae, 615 nucleotides long. RefSeq lists it as uncharacterized. Lineage: Eukaryota; Metazoa; Arthropoda; Insecta; Diptera; Syrphidae. The record is from RefSeq and is a predicted model, not a curated record. The transcript has 3 exons.